GACUCACGAAGAAAAAUCUUAAAACCCUAAAACCUUCUGUUAGUAUCGCAGUCACAGCUUCUUUCAAGUCGCAUACUCGCAACAUUUUUCCUUUUGCAUACUCUACAUGAAUCCGUGACAAUACAAAGAAUACAUUGGAAUGGAUUUUCGAUUUUUCAAGAAAGGGGUUCACAUGUGAACUCAGGAUUCUUUCAAUCGGCUCCUCGCAACACCGACCGAUCACUCAUCUAUGACUUCAAUCCCUGAAACCACCAAAGGCUUUAACAUUAAUUUUUAUGUCGCUGCUGGAUAUAGGUGUACAAUAACUUCUAAAGGAAGAAAAGAAGUAAGGCUAUUAAAUAUAGACUACCAACAACAAAGUGGCAAGCUAAAAGUCAACAUACAAACAGAUGCAUACUUCAAAUUAUUGUCAUAUAGCUAGCAUUAGUUGUUGAUUGCAAGAGUACAAUUGGCAAAAGUUCUAUUUCAGAUACUACUUUCUGCUUGUAAUGAAUUGAUUGCUUUCUUGUGUAAUAGAGACUAGGAUGGUUCAUAAAAUAUUAUUUUGUCU
Long non-coding RNA from Cannabis sativa, 550 nucleotides. RefSeq lists it as uncharacterized. The record is from RefSeq and is a predicted model, not a curated record. The transcript is spliced from 3 exons. NCBI's taxonomy places the organism in Eukaryota, Viridiplantae, Streptophyta, Magnoliopsida, Rosales, Cannabaceae.